RNAcentral lists this ribosomal RNA (2106 nucleotides) under human gut metagenome. RNAcentral's name for it is "bacterial LSU rRNA". It matches the Rfam family "Bacterial large subunit ribosomal RNA", at positions 340 to 2471 of the family's 2925-position model. The record is from RNAcentral.
CCAUGGGAAGGGGAUCCGAAGAGGGUGAGAGACCCGUAUCCGAAGGCUCGACAUGGAUCGAGGCGGCACCUGAGUACGGCGGGGCACGUGGAAUCCUGCCGGAAUCAUCGGGGACCAUCCCGAAAGGCUAAACACUACUCUGUGACCGAUAGCGAACCAGUACCGUGAGGGAAAGGUGAAAAGAACCCCGGGAGGGGAGUGAAAGAGAACCUGAAACCGCAUGCCCACAAGAAGUCAGAGCCCGUCAAAGGGUGAUGGCGUGCCUUUUGUAGAAUGAGCCGGCGAGUCACGAUCAGCAGGCGAGGUUAAGCAGGAGAUGCGGAGCCGCAGCGAAAGCGAGUCUUAAGAGGGCGAAAUAGUCUGAGGUCGUGGACCCGAAACCGGGUGAUCUAGCCAUGAGCAGGUUGAAGUCGGGGUAAGACCCGAUGGAGGACCGAACCGACCCCCGUUGAAACGUUGGCGGAUGACUUGUGGCUAGGGGUGAAAUUCCAAUCGAACCCGGAGAUAGCUGGUUCUCCCCGAAAUAGCUUUAGGGCUAGCGUCGCAGCGAGAGAGCCGUGAAGGUAGAGCACUGAAUAUGCGAUGGCCGCAUCCCGCGGUACUGAGCAUAAUCAAACUCCGAAUGUCACGGUGUCAUCUGCGGCAGUCAGACGGCGAGUGAUAAGGUCCGUCGUCAAGAGGGAAACAGCCCAGACCAUCAGCUAAGGUCCCAAAGUGCAUGCUAAGUGGAAAAGGAAGUGGAGACGUGCAGACAACUAGGAGGUUGGCUCAGAAGCAGCCAUCCUUCAAAGAGUGCGUAACAGCUCACUAGUCGAAUGACUCUGCGCCGAUAAUUUACCGGGGCUAAGCAUGACACCGAAGCUAUGGACAGGAAUGUGGUAGGGGAGCAUUGCAUGCAGCGGAGAAGCAUGACCGGGAGGGCAUGUGGAGCGCAUGGAAGAGAGAAUGCCGGCGUGAGUAGCGGCACGUGGGUGAGAAUCCCACGCACCGAUGGCCCAAGGUCUCCAGAGGAAGGCUCGUCCUCUCUGGGAUAGUCGGGACCUAAGGCGAGGCCGAAAGGCGUAGCCGAUGGACGACGGGUGGAUAUUCCCGUACCCGAUGUGUGGCGAUGGAGUGACGGAGAAGGCUCAGGCAACCAGCUGCUGGAAUAGCUGGGGCAAGCGAGAUACCUGCGCACCAGGGAAAUCCGGUGCGCAUAAGGGGAAGGCGCGAUGCAUACGGAAAGCUUCGGCAAGUACGGAAAAGCUGAGAGCAGGCUUCCAGGAAAAGCUUCUAGCACAACACACAUCGGCCCGUACCGAAAAUGGACACACAUGGGCAAGGAGAGAAUCCUGAGGUGAGCGAGAGAACUAUAGCUAAGGAACUCUGCAAAAUGACCCCGUAACCUAGGGAGAAGGGGUGCUCCAGAAAUGGAGCCGCAGUAAAACGGCCCAAGCGACUGUUUACCAAAAACACAGCUCUCUGCGAAGGCGCAAGCCGAAGUAUAGGGGGUGACGCCUGCCCGGUGCUGGAAGGUCAAGGGGAGCUGUCAGCGCAAGCGAAGCAGCGAGCCGAAGCCCCAGUAAACGGCGGCCGUAACUAUAACGGUCCUAAGGUAGCGAAAUUCCUUGUCGGGCAAGUUCCGACCCGCACGAAAGGCGUAACGAUUUGGGCGCUGUCUCAGCUGUAGACUCGGUGAAGUCUUAGUACCUGUGAAGAUGCAGGUUGCCCGCGACUAGACGGAAAGACCCCAUGGAGCUUCACUGCAGGUUGACAUUGGGCUUGGAUGCAUGAUGUACAGGAUAGGUGGGAGGCUGUGAGCCGUGCGCGCCAGCGUACGGGGAGCCGCUGUUGGGAUACCACCCUUCAUGCAUCUAGGUCCUAACCGGAGGCAACGGGCCACGGGACAGUGUCAGUCGGGCAGUUUGACUGGGGCGGUCGCCUCCCAAAGAGUAACGGAGGCGCCCAAAGAUACCCUCAGCAUGGAUGGAAACCAUGCAUAGAGUGCAAAGGCAUAAGGGUGUCUGACUGCGAGACAUACAGGUCGAGCAGGGACGAAAGUCGGGCUUAGUGAUCCGGCGGAUCCGAAUGGAAGGGCCGUCGCUCAACGGAUAAAAGCUACCCUGG